This 145-nucleotide ribosomal RNA is filed under the name Salmonella enterica subsp. enterica serovar Corvallis. Its description in RNAcentral is "partial 23S ribosomal RNA". It matches the Rfam family "Bacterial large subunit ribosomal RNA", at positions 2798 to 2925 of the family's 2925-position model. Lineage: Bacteria; Pseudomonadati; Pseudomonadota; Gammaproteobacteria; Enterobacterales; Enterobacteriaceae. The record is from RNAcentral.
CCCGAGAUGAGUUCUCCCUGAGACUUUAGGUCUCCUGAAGGAACGUUGAAGACGACGACGUUGAUAGGCCGGGUGUGUAAGCGCAGCGAUGCGUUGAGCUAACCGGUACUAAUGAACCGUGAGGCUUAACCUUACAACGCCGAAG